GAGGAAUAUUGGUCAAUGGGCGAAAGCCUGAACCAGCCAUGCCGCGUGCAGGAUGAAUGCCCUAUGGGUUGUAAACUGCUUUUAUACGGGAAGAAACUCUCGAACGUGUUCGGGAUUGACGGUACCGUAAGAAUAAGGAUCGGCUAACUCCGUGCCAGCAGCCGCGGUAAUACGGAGGAUCCAAGCGUUAUCCGGAUUUAUUGGGUUUAAAGGGUGCGUAGGUGGAAUUAUAAGUCAGUGGUGAAAUACUGUAGCUUAACUACAGAACUGCCAUAGAUACUGUAAUUCUUGAGUGCAGUUGAGGUAGGCGGAAUGUGUCUUGUAGCGGUGAAAUGCUUAGAUAUGACACAGAACACCGAUUGCGUAGGCAGCUUACUAAACUGUAACUGACACUGGGGCACGAAAGCGUGGGGAUCAAAC
Molecule: ribosomal RNA, 420 nt
Filed under: uncultured bacterium
Lineage: Bacteria
Description: bacterial SSU rRNA
Rfam family: Bacterial small subunit ribosomal RNA
Source: RNAcentral